RNAcentral lists this ribosomal RNA (1337 nucleotides) under Balmes birmanus. Its description in RNAcentral is "16S ribosomal RNA". The stretch from base 1084 to 1243 matches the Rfam family "Archaeal large subunit ribosomal RNA", at positions 2544 to 2703 of the family's 2987-position model. Lineage: Eukaryota; Metazoa; Arthropoda; Insecta; Neuroptera; Psychopsidae. The record is from RNAcentral.
AAAUUAAAUUAUUACUAGUUAAAUAAAUAUAGUAGUAUAAUAAUAAAAAUAAUUUUAUGUAUUAAUUUUAAGUAUAUUUUAUAAAAAAAAUAAUUUUAGUAAUAGUGAAUUAGUAUAGUAAUAGAAGUAUGAAAUAAGAUGUUAUUUAAGUGAAAGUAGUUUUUAUUUAAUGUACCUUUUGUAUCAGGGUUUAUUAAAUAAAUUUUAUUUAUAAUAAAUUUUCUCGAAUUUUAAAGAGUUAAAAUAAUAUGAAAUUUAAUGUGUUAUAAUUAUAUUAAAUAUUAUUUUUGUAAUGAAAAGUUAGUCGGUUUAAAAUAUAUCUAGUUUUUUAAGAAAUAAAUUUAAUUUAGAUAUAAAUAUUAUUUUAUUAUUAAUUAAUAGUAAUAGUAGAUUUAUUUAUAUUAAUAUAUUUGGGGAUAAGCUUAAAUAUAUUUAUUUUUAUAAAUAAUAAAUAUAAAAUAAAAGUAAUAGGAUUAGAAAUUUUCAUUUAUAAAUAAAAUGUUAUAAUUAAUUUAUUUUAUAAAAUAAUUUAUUUAAUUUUAAAUUUUAUAUUAAAAUAAUUAUAUUAAUAAUAAAUAUAAUGUAAUAAUGAUAUAAUUAGUAUUAAUUUAUUUAUAAAUAAAAAAUAUUUAUAAAGAUAAAAAUAAGGAAUUCAGCAAUAUAUAUAUAUAAUACUCACCUGUUUAUCAAAAACAUGUCUUUUUGUAAAAAAUAUAAAGUCUAACCUGCCCACUGAUUAAUUGAAGGGCCGCAGUAUUUUGACUGUGCAAAGGUAGCAUAAUCAUUUGUCUUUUAAUUAAAGACUAGAAUGAAUGGUUGAAUGAAGUAUUAACUGUCUCAUUUUUAAAAUAAUAAAAAUUUAUUUUUUUAGUUAAAAAACUAAAAUAAAUUUAAAAGACGAGAAGACCCUAUAGAUCUUUAUAAAUAAUAUUUAUAUAUAAAGUGGAAUAAUAAUUAUUAUAUAAAAUAUAUUUAUUUUAUUGGGGUGAUAGGAAAAUUUAAUAAACUUUUUUUAUAUUUAUAAACAAUGAUUUUUGAAUAAUUGAUCCAUUAUUAUUGAUUAAAAAUUUAAGUUACCUUAGGGAUAACAGCGUAAUUUUUUUUGAGAGUUCAUAUCGAAAAAUAAGUUUGCGACCUCGAUGUUGAAUUAAAGGUAAUUUUUAGAUGUAGCAGUUUAAAUUUUAGGUCUGUUCGACCUUUAGAUCUUUACAUGAUUUGAGUUCAGACCGGUGUAAGCCAGGUCGGUUUCUAUCUUUAAAAGAAUAAUAUAUUUUAGUACGAAAGGACCAAAUAUAGAAAAUAUUUUUUAAAAUAAAUAAAAGAAUAUUAUUAAAUAA